UACGGGGGGAGUAAGCGUUGUUCGGAUUUACUGGGCGUAAAGGGCGCGUAGGCGGCCACUGCAAGUCAGUUGUGAAAUCUCCGGGCUUAACCCGGAAAGGUCAACUGAUACUGCAGGGCUAGAGUGCAGAAGGGGCAACUGGAAUUCUCGGUGUAGCGGUGAAAUGCGUAGAUAUCGAGAGGAACACCUGCGGCGAAGGCGGGUUGCUGGGCUGACACUGACGCUGAUGUGCGAAAGCUAGGGGAGCGAACGGG
RNAcentral lists this ribosomal RNA (254 nucleotides) under uncultured bacterium. Its description in RNAcentral is "partial 16S ribosomal RNA". It matches the Rfam family "Bacterial small subunit ribosomal RNA", at positions 524 to 776 of the family's 1533-position model. The record is from RNAcentral.